GCCGGGUGUGGGGGCUCACACCUGUAAUCCCAGCACUUUGGGAGGCUGAGAUGGGAGGACUGCUUGAGCCCAGGAGUUCAAGGAUGCGGUGAGCUAUGAUCGUGCCACUGCACUCCAGCCUGAGCAACAGAGUGAGACCUUGUCUUAU
Molecule: small RNA, 148 nt
Filed under: Macaca mulatta (Rhesus monkey)
Lineage: Eukaryota; Metazoa; Chordata; Mammalia; Primates; Cercopithecidae
Description: Metazoan signal recognition particle RNA (ENSMMUG00000059205.1)
Source: Rfam by way of RNAcentral